GGGAACGCUAUUCUUCCAAAGGGCAGUUCUGUUUAUUUUACUGCUCACUACAUACAUCGAAAUCCAAAAUACUGGACCAAUCCUCUGAAGUUUGAUCCGGACAGAUUUUUACCGGAUGAAAUAGCAAAGAGACAUCCAUGCACUUUCAUUCCUUUUUCAUACGGUCCCAGGAAUUGUAUAGGAUGGAAGUACGCUAUUUUCAGCAUGAAAAUUAUCAUCGCAACGAUUAUCAGAGAGUUCAAGAUAUUCAGUGAAUAUAAAUCCAUAGAGGAGAUAGAAGUGAAUUAUAUAUGCUCAGUAAAUUGAAAGAUCGCUCAAAAUUUUGGUUGGAACUCAGACAGUAGAAAUUAUUGUAUUCGUUUAUGUAUUCAAAGUGUGUUUGAAGGAGCAGGAAUUAGAAGCUAUCAUUUUUUUAUCUGAACAUGAAAUGAGAGUUCCACCUCAGAAAUGUAAAACUUCCACGAGUAUAAAUAUUCUUAUUGAAAUAUAUUAUUGAAAUUU
Long non-coding RNA from Leptinotarsa decemlineata (Colorado potato beetle), 501 nucleotides. Lineage: Eukaryota; Metazoa; Arthropoda; Insecta; Coleoptera; Chrysomelidae. The record is from RefSeq and is a predicted model, not a curated record.